UUCUCGAUAGAGUUUUUAAGCUCAACAGGGAAAUCUGUCAGUUCAUGGACAGUAAAGGAAAAGACUGCACAGUUUUGCGGGAUGAAAAGUGGAAAUGUGAGUUGGCGUUUCUGGCUGACAUAACAACACAUCUCAGCGUCUUAAACCUUCAGCUCCAGGGACGUGACCGCAUGAUCACUGACAUGUAUGAUGCAGUGAAGGCAUUUCAAGUGAAGCUGCUCCUAUGGGAGACACAAAUGCACCAGUGCAACUUGCCUCAUUUUCCCUGUUGCCAAGUAAUGUUGAACCAGGUCGGCGCAAUGAUGUUCCCAAAUGCGCACUUUGCUGAUAAACUGAGCGCACUUCGCACUGAGUUCGCACGGCGCUUUGGUGACUUUGAAGCUCAAAAAAUUAAUUUCGAGCUGCUUCGCAACCCAUUUGCCGUCGACGUGGAAACUGCACCUGUACAGAUUCAGAUGGAGCUGUUAGGGCUGCAGUGUAAUGGGACACUAAAGGCAAAGUAUGACACUGCAGGGCCCGUACAGUUUAUUCGCUCCAUUCCUGAAGCAAUGCCUCAGCUCCGUCUACAUGCGGCUCGAACCUUGUGCAUGUUUGGUAGCACAUAUCUGUGUGAGAAGCUUUUCUCAGUGAUGAAGAUUAACAAAACAUCACACAGGAGUCGUCUCACUGAUGAACACCUGCAGUCCAUCCUGAGAAUCUCCACAACACAGAACCUUACACCAAACCUAAACGAACCUAUUGCCAAGAAAAGAUGCCAAGCAUCCAGCUCUGACAAAACGGCAUAAGAGCAAAGAAAACUGAGUGUUUUGAUUUGUUGUUGUUUUAACUUUUGCUGAAAAGCACAAAUUUUAUUUAUAUUUUCAGGGUUUUUUUGCAGCAUGCUCAUAUUUCUAACUUGUAUAAUACAGGAGCUAUUUUUAUGGAGAGCAAAAUAUUUAAGUUAUUUAAAGUUUUAGUUUAUUUUUUCUGGAAUAGUAUUCCUGUCUGUUUUUAUUCAUAUUUAUGUUCAAAAAAUGUUUAGUUUUAGUGUGUUCAAUAAACGUUUAUCCUGUUCGGCCCGCGACCUAAAGUGUGCUUUGAGUUUUGGCCCCAUGUGCAAUUGAGUUCGACACCUCUGCGCUAAUAUGAUGAACUGAGACUGAGGCUUUGGGCCUAGUCCGGGCUGCUCCAAGGAUUUGGAUCUAAGGACUCAACUUGAUUCGAAAUGUUCUUGCUCGCUCCUAUUGUUUGCAUGAAUUGUUUGUUUUUCCUUUCUCUAUGCAUCGGGUGUUGGUCUUUUUUUAAUCGGGUUAUUUCAGGUAUUUUGCUUUGUGGCUGUUUGUAAGCAGACAAAUCUCGAGGUUGUAUAAUUUUUACAUUCUUUGAUAAUAAAUGUACUUUGAAACUUCUUUAUAGGAAGGAUGUGGACCUUUGGAGAGCGGAGAGGGUGCAGAAAGGAUUUACCAGGAUGAUGCCUGGACCAGAGGAAAUGUCAUAUGAGGAUAGGUUGGGUGAGCUAGGGUUUUUCUCUUUGGAGUGAAGGAGGAUGAGAGGUGACUUGCUAGAGGUGUGGAAGAUGGUGAGAGGUACACAUCAAGUGGAUUGCAAGAGACUUUUUCCUAGGGUGUAAAUAGCUAAUACAAGGAGGCAUAAUUUUAAGCAGAUUAGAGGAAAAUAUAGGAGAGGUAACAUCUAUAUUUUUUUACACAGAGAGUGGUGAGUGCAUGGAAUGCUCUGCCAGAAGUACUGGCAGUGGCAAGUACAUUAGGGGCAUUUAAGAAACUCAGGUAAGGAGCCAUUUGGGAUGUCAGAGCAGAUGCGGGUUCGGAGAUGCAGACCUGGCUGCAGAGCAUUUUACUGCCUGCUACUCCAAGGCAUCGAAGUUGGUGCGCAAAGGUGGCAUACGGUAUAACGGUAGGAGAUUGUCUCGGAUAUUUCACUCUCUAUUGGGCAAUGAUAAUGUAGGCUGCCACAGCCUUUUGCCCUUGUCUGGUGGCGUGACAGGCGACAUGGGAGCUGUGCAGCCUCCAUGUAGUGAGGACUAAGCCUCAAUGAUCAGGCUUGCCUGCUGCUGCUGGACCAGGUGAGAAGACGUGUGAGUGUUGUAGUGUGGCAUCCGAGCUUGGCUGGGGACUGGCCUCUCCCGUUAGUGCCACUCUCCUGUGUUCGAGCAAUGGAGUAACAGGCUGGACUCCGUGCGUUUGUGGACUGCUGGGAGACUGUACCAUCAGAGUCUUGGACUAUCUAUAUUUUCUUAAAUGAAUAUGCUUUUUUGCUUGCUAUUUUGUGUGUUUGCACCUUGGCCUCAGAGGAACAUUGUCUCAUUCAGCUGUAUCUAUGUUUGUUUGAAUGAUAACUAGAGAUGAUUUGAUUUGAUUUUGAUUAGGAACUCUAGAUAGGCACAUGAAUGAUAAAAAAAUGAUUAUGUAGGAGGUAAAGGUUAGAUUGAUCUUAGAGUAGGUUAAAAGAUCGGCACAACAAUGUGGGCUGAAGUGUUCUAUGUAAUACUUACCCAUGCUCAUCUGUAACUGUCUCAUUUUGCUUUCUGGUAGUUGGUGUACACUGUACUGAUGGUAAGAACAAUGUACAGCAGAAUUUGUUACUUCUACCUGGAUGGAACUGAUUUUCUUUGUUUGCUUUGGUCUUCUCAGUGUGAAAACUUCGUUCAAUCUUACAAAAAAGAGCUUAGCAAAUUGCUUCAAAAGUCCCAGGAGGAAAAGGACAUUUGUUGGGAACUGGACCUCUGUGUAAGGAAACAGACUGUACGACAGUUUGGACUGACUGCAUGUGCUUUGGGAUCAAGGUACUGGUGUAAGAACCGACAUACAGCCACCAAGUGUCGUGCUGUUGAUUACUGUAAGAGACGCCGCUGGAAACAGGGCUAAUUUCAUAUCACUGGUGGAAGGCAACAGAAAUUGAAUACUUAAAAAAAUGCAAAGGCUCUUCCUUUAGUACCAGUUAAAUGAUGAUUCUGCUUGUGUGUUUGCAUGUUUCCUUUAAGCAAUUUUGUGUUGCUGCAGCUUGUGCAUUCAAUGCAAUCUCUUUUAUUGUGAGAUGUUACAGAGACGAGAUUAUUGGUAAUCCUUUACUUCCAUCGAAUCAACAUUGCCAGAUGCCAUAUACGCAGAGUUUCAAUGACAAAUAUUGAUUGGGGUUUUGAUUUCAUCAACUGUAAAAAUUCAGCAGACUAAAGUGCUUUAAGAUCAUGUUCUGUUUCUUAAAUAAGCUUUUAGAGUUGUGGUUCAUUCUCGUACCCUUCAAUAUCUGGCUGCUGAACCUGCCUCAAGUAGUCAGUCAUACAAGGCUCAACACUUCCCUGCUGUAGAAGGCAUCAUAAACAAAUCAACUUGAGAACACAGCCUUUCCUACCCAAACAAAACAUGACACCACAGCAGAUAUAUCAACACAGCCCUGUGGUCAGCCCUUCCAUCAUUUGAGGUUCCUAUAUGCAAACAUUUUCCUCAAAGUGGAGUCCAGUGACCCAGAGGGACAAAAUUGGUACUCUGGAAGAUCACAAUGGUAAUCCAUGUGUGGAGCCAAAACAGAUGGAGGAAAUCUUAAAUGCAUUUUUUGCAUCUGUACUUACUCAGGGGAUGAAUACAGAGGCAAAGCAACAUCAACUUUAUGGACCCUGUACAGAUUACAGAGGAGGAGGUGUUUGCUACCCUGAGGCAAAUCAGGGUAGAUAAAUCCCCAGGGCCUGACAAGAUGCUCCUUCAGACCCUACGGGAGGCAAUUGCGGAAAUUGCCAGAGCCCUUGCAGAGAUAUUUUAAAAAGGGAACAUGAGGAGAAACUUCUUCACU
This is a long non-coding RNA of Hypanus sabinus (Atlantic stingray), 3783 nucleotides long. RefSeq lists it as uncharacterized. NCBI's taxonomy places the organism in Eukaryota, Metazoa, Chordata, Chondrichthyes, Myliobatiformes, Dasyatidae. The record is from RefSeq and is a predicted model, not a curated record. The transcript is spliced from 3 exons.